CAAUUAACCCCCCCGAUUUCACAAAACACCCCCUCCAGAAUUCUACUCCCUUACACCGCGCCACCCCGACUUUUGUUUACCGUUUACAACUCUUACAAACAAUUUUUUUUCCGAAAAAGAAACGAGACCUUAACCUGCUAAAUAGCCGGGCCGGCUUUGGUUGGCCUCUGUUUUCUUAGAGGGACUAUCGGCGUUUAGCUGAUGGAAGUUUGAGGCAAUAACAGGUCUGUGAUGCCUUUAGAUGUUUUGGGCCGCACGCGCGUUCCACUGACGGAGCCAGCGAGUCUUUUCCUUGUCCGGAAGGCCUGGGUAAUCUUGUGAAACUCUGUCGUGCUGGGGAUAGAGCAUUGCAAUUAUUGCUCUUCAACGAGGAAUUCCUAGUAAGCGUGAGUCAUCAGCUACGCGUUGAUUACGUGCCUGCCGUAACUGAUG
RNAcentral lists this ribosomal RNA (432 nucleotides) under uncultured Colacogloea. RNAcentral's name for it is "partial 18S ribosomal RNA". It matches the Rfam family "Eukaryotic small subunit ribosomal RNA", at positions 1320 to 1659 of the family's 1831-position model. The record is from RNAcentral. Lineage: Eukaryota; Fungi; Basidiomycota; Microbotryomycetes.